CCUCCCUCGCCCGCCCGCGCCUCGGCGGCACCGGCGACAGCCCAACCCUCGCUUCGCUCGCCCCGCGCCCGCCUCGCCGCCGCCACCGCUCCUCCUCGGCGGCCAUUGCCGCAUCCCCGGCCUGGGGCGUAGAUAUGAGGCCCGCCUGGGGCCUAGGGUCGGAAGCCAUGGCCGCCCACCUCCGCGGGCUGAGGGAACUCGGAUGGUGGCCCCGCUGCCGCCGCGGCGCCAGCAACCUACGGCCCUGCUCCCCAAGCCCCCGCUAAGUCCGCCUGCGCCAUCACUCACCGUGGCUGAAUGAACACGCACGAGACGUGACGCUCCGCACCAGGACACUGAAGCAACUGGCGCGCCGCCCCCUGCGCCGGCCUUAUAUAGAGGCGGGCCCGCCCAGCGCGCGGCGCUUCUUUCCAGAAGCCUCCGGAACCUUCCGGAAGAACCCUCCCCAACCGUCGCCUCGGCCGCGCGCCCGCGCCUGCGCAAUGGACGGGCCCCGCCCCUCCACCUGGAGCGCGCCGAACCCGCGCGGAGAACGAACGCAAGCCCCUCCUCCACAGCCAGGUGCUCUGCACAUGCGCAGUCCGGAACGCUCGGCGGGCCGGGCGCCUUCCCGGGCCGCACGCGCGCGCGCGGACGGGCCGGCCAGCGCAUGCGCCUGAAGCCUCCAUGUGAGCCCUGUGGUCUAAGGCUUCUUUUCCCCGGCGCUCUGUAAAAGGGACGUCCCCAUGGGAACGCGCGCGUGUUGUGUGAACCUCGCGGUCCUCUGCGGCGCUUUAGGUCCUUGCAGGCAAAAGGUCCCCCUUCGGGCUCCCUUUGGGAACGCGGACCCCGCAGGAGGCGAGUCCCGCCCCCCCCCUGGCUUCCACCUUGAUGGGUGGGGCGCCUCCCGGACUGGGGUUCUGGUUGCGUAGUCUGAAUUUCAGGGCUGACCCCGCUGGAGUGUGUUCUGAAGCCUUACAGUGGGCUUACUGAGAGACCUUACACGGUGGGUCUUACAAAUCCGUCCAGAGUGCUUGGGGAUUUCUCUUUGACCAAAAGCUAUGACCCUCAAAUUGGGCGUUGUGAGGGAUUUUGUAUCAAAUUUGUGCUACCUUAAUUUACUGUAAUUUUGGGGCUGGAAAGAUGGCUCUUCCAGUAAAGGUGCUUGGGUUUG
Molecule: long non-coding RNA, 1153 nt
Filed under: Mus musculus (house mouse)
Lineage: Eukaryota; Metazoa; Chordata; Mammalia; Rodentia; Muridae
Description: long non-coding RNA chr12:110695963-110697116
Source: RNAcentral